AUUUGUAAAACUUGCUAUAAUGUUAAUUUACAAUUUUCUGUUCUACAAAUGUUUGCAUAAAUAAUAGAUCAAGGUGUUGCUGUUUUCAUGAUCUCUGUUUAAUUAGACAGUCUUGGCAAUUCAACACAAUUGUAAGGAAAAAAAUGACAGGUAAUUUCUUCUUUGCAUUAACAAUAAUUAUGUGAGCAGUUUGGAAAAUACAUUUUUAAAAAUAUUCUUAAUGCCAUUGUAGAUGUUCUGUACCGUCUAAUGAGAAACCACUGUGUUUAAUUUUGUUAUAAAAUAUUCACAAUUCAUUUUAAUAGUUCUAGGAAAAAAAACAACAGUACUUUUGAAGGAAGGCAUUAAUAAUCACCUUCUCUGCACAUCUUUCUCUCUCUCUCUCACAUACAUACUCAUACAAAUAAAAUUCUCUUUCUAUUAGAGACCUAUGGACAAAGAGAUGCAAGCACAGAUCUCCGAUUUAGAAUAUUAGAAUAUUUUUAACCUAGAAAGGGGUAAAAUAUGGCCCUGAAAUUAUGGAUUAGUUUAGUCCUCUCUUAAAAACAUGUGUGUACACACUCAUAUACCUACACACAUAUGUAGAUACUCCAUUGGAAGAAUGGAAAUAAAAUGUUUCCAUCCUAAAAAAUAUUCUAAAAGAGGCAAAUACAUUAUAAGGAUAUAAAAAGAACCACUUAUGUAUAUAAUAAUUUCACAGUAGAGUCCUCUUUAUAACAUGAUAAAACCUGACACUAGAGAAAAAGCCAUCAGUUGCCAAGUUCUUCCUAUUAACAUAGAGUUUCCAGUCACAUUUUUAUUUAUUCAUUCUUAAAAAUCUACCUUUAAAGACAAACAGUGUUACCAUAAGGAGACGUGUGUGUGCCCAUGUGUGCUUAAUUAUCUUAAGAAAAUUUUAAGAUGGCAAGAUAUUCAAGAACAUCUAAUUUCCUAACACAAGGACAGGGAAUAGGGAAACAGGAGGAGAUUAUAAACUGCUGACACAAAAAUGUCUGUAUAGGAGGGAAAUAAUUUUAUAAGAAGGCAAGAGGCUCAAUGAGCACUGAGAACCAAAUUAUGUAAUAUAUUUUUUAAUUCACACACAGACAAAUGAUUAUAGAAUGUUACACUUUGAAGACAAAAAGGAUGUUAUAACUCUUUCAAACAGAAAACAACAGAACAACAGAAGAAAGAUGGCCAUCCAAGAAACAAGCAUCGGACUAAUCUUCAGAAAAAGAUGUUAAGAAAUGUUGGUGCAAGGUCUCAAAGGAAAAGGAAAAAAUGGAAUGAAAUUUAGAAAUUUAUUUCCCACUAAAUUAUUAAUUUUCAAUUGAAAAUAAAUAUUUAUUAAUGCAAAAUCACUAAACAUCAACUUGCAUGGAAAUGUCCUUUCAAGAAGCUUAUUUGUAUUGUGAUUUUAGAAAAUGAAAGUAAAAAACAAGAGUUGUGGAUGUAUUUCUUACAGUCUUUAUUCUCAAAUUCUCUUCACCCUUUACUCCCCUAAAGCAGCAGCAGGGGGCUAUAGCAAUAGUUAAUUAAUUUUUUUAAUCCUGUAAUGGGAGAAAAUUGGAAUACUGUCAAUUAAAACUAUAUGGUUAAUGGACUUUUAAGAAAUGACUCUUAUGCUACCUAAAAGAUACUAGAACGCAUAGUUCUAUCAACAAACCAAAAUGUAUUAUUCAAUCAGAGAGUGCAGAUUGUUGAUUACAGUCAUGCAAAACAGAGUCAAAAAAGAAAAAUGUAAAAACAAAGUUAGCAUGAUUUUAAGAGCUAGAAGAAUACAAAAAGCAAAAAUACAUUUGCCACUGACACUAGGAAUAUUCUGACUGGCACUGCUGCUAUGACAUUAGAAACAUGAAGAGGAGAUGCAACUAUGUACACCACUAGGUUCUGAAUUGAAAAAAAAUUAUACAAUUGUAAUAAUAAACCAGUAUUUACUGACUUUCAACUUAAACUACAGAGAAAGCAUAAAAUGCUUAAUUAUGCCUGUAAUGGAGUAGAAUAUACAUACUUUAAAGUCAGGAUAAAGAAGCACAGAGGUGCUAACAUGCUAUCACACAAAAUGGAAAUUGAAAAGAAAAUGUUUGCAUUUUUUAAAAAAAUUUAAAAUUUCAAUACUAAAAAAAAUCAAUAGGAUAAUCAAUUGAAAAAGUUGAGGGUGUUAAAUUACCAAUAAUUGGAAAAGGAAAGAAGUGGGAGAGUUGGAAAAGAAAUAAAUUAAGUCUAAACUUUUCUAUUGUGUCAUUAAGGAUCUCUGUUGCCUUAUUUUCUGUCGAGGGGAUCUGUCCAUUGAUGUGAGUGGGGUGUUAAAGUCUCCUAUUAUUAUUGUAUUCCAAUCAAUUUCUCCUUUUAUGUCUGUUUAGUAUUUGUUGUAGGUAUCUGAAUGUUCCUAUAUUUGGGGCAUAUAUAUUGAGGACUGUAAUAUCCUCUUCUUAAAUGGAUCCCUUGACCAUUAAACAGUGUCUUUCUUUGUCUUUAUUUAUGGCCUUCAUUUUAAAGUCUAUUUUGUCUGAUAUGAGUAUUGCAACUCCUGCUUUCCUGUCUUGUCCAUUGGCAUGAAAUAUCUUUUCCCAUCCCCUCACUUUCAAUCUAUAUGUCUCUUUUGCCUUAAGGUGACAAUCUUGCAGAGAGCAGAUUAUAGGUUUUUUCUUUGUUAUCCAAUCUGCCACUCUAUGUCUUUUGACUGGAGCAUUCAGUCCAUUGAUAUUUAAGGCAAUUAUUGAUAAAUAUGUAUUCACUAUCAUUUCAAACCUUGUUUUCCAGUUUAUUCUAUGUUUCUUUUCUUUCUUUUUUUUUUUGGUUGGAUGAUUUCCAUUUAUUUUAUGCUUGAGUACUUUUCUUUUUAGUUUUUGUAUGUAAUGUUUAGUUUUGAUUUGUGGUUGCCUUGUUUUUUUCAGUAUGUUAACCCCUUCCUGUAUCUGCUUGCUUUAGCCUGAUAGUCAUAUAGGCUAAAACACAUUAUUAAAAAAAAAUGAGUUUAUAUUUUCUUACUUUUCUUCCCCACAUUCUAUGAUUUUGUUGUCCUUUUUUAACAUCUUCAUGUGCAUCCUUUUGCUGUUCCUUGUGUAUCACUGCUUUUACGGUCUUCCUCCCCCCCCCCCUUUUAGAGCUACAUGCUGGCUUAUUUAAGUGAUUGCUUUCCAAUUGUGGUUUCCUCCAUCUUAUUUCUUCUUACUUUUUUAUUUAGAGAAGCCCUUUCAGUAUUUCUUUUAGAAUGGAUUUAAUACUGCUGAACCCUUUUAGGUUUGGUGGAGAAAUUCUUUAUUUCCCCUUCUAUUUUAAAUGAUAUUCUUGCUGGAUAGAGUAUUCUAGGCUGCAAAUUUUUUCCUUUCAGAACUUUAAAUAUAUUUUGCCACUCUCUUCUGGCUUGUAAUGUUUCUGUAGAGAAAUCAGCUGAUAGCCUUAUGGGAGUUCCCUUAUAAUUAAUGUUUAGUUUUUCUCUUGCUGCCUUUGGAAUCUCCUUGUCUUUAACUUUUGCCAUUUUUAUUACAAUAUGUCUUGGUGUGGUCCUAUUUGGGUUCAACUUGUUUGGGGCCCUCUGUGCUUCCUGUAUCAUGAUAUCAGUUUCCUUUGGAUUUGGAAAGUUUUCAGCCAUAAUUUCUUCAAAUAUCUUUUCAAUCCCCUUUUUUCUUCUCCUUCUAGAAUUCCUAUUAUGCGUAGAUGGGCCCGCUUUAUAUUACCCAAUAGAUCUCUUAUAUUGCUUUGUGUCUUUUUCAUUUGGUUUUCUGCCGGCUGUCCUGAUUGGGUGAUUUCCAUUAUUCUAUCUUCCUAGUCACUAAUUCAUUCCUCUGCAUUAUUCGUUCUGCUCUUUACUGCCUUUAGCUCAGUUUGUAUCUCCGCAAAUGAAUUUUCUAAUUUUUCUAUGUCCCUCAUUCUAGCUCCUUUCUAAGGGAAUCUGCAUUACUAUUCAUAUCUGCUCUUAAUUCCUUGAUAUUCAGCCUUAAUUCCUUCAGUAUUUUCACCAUCUCCCUCUUGACCUCAAUGUCUAUAGGACUGCAGAGGUCUGUUUCAUUGUUUGCUACUUCAGGUGAAUUCUCCUCUUCCUUUAAUCAGGAAUGCUUUCUGAACUUCUUCAUCUUGCUUGUUUUUCUUUUUCUGUGAGUUUAGGGAAGCCAAACUGUAGCCUUGGGGCAGCUAUUUCUAUGCAAGAGCACCCUUUUGUGGGGGGUUACUAUUUAUUUUUAGUGUGGGAGUUUGAAUAUUUGCUGUCUCUUUCUUCAGUGUGAGCAGGCUGUUAUCCCCAGGGUGCUGAGUUUGUUUCUGGGGAGAAGAAGGCAAUGAGUAGGGCUAGUAGUCACUGCCUGAUUGCUGGGCUCUUAGCAGCAAGGACCUGCAGGAAGGUGGUACAGGCUACUCCUAGUUGCAGGGCCCUGGGAAGCGGUAAUGAACCUUAUGCAGAUUGACAAGGUGGUGCCCAGAGCAUUUGGCAGCAGCAGCAGCAGGUUGUGUGAGUUCCCAGGGAGUGAGAGCAACAACAGGUAGUGUUCAAUUACAAUGCCCUCCUCUGAGGUGGCUGGAGCCACAAGUGGUGCCUGUUUAAGGACCCCUAGUGGUAGUGGGCCAUGCCCACAUCUGGAGUCAGGAAUAACCAUGGUGGUUUGCCCCACCACCUGCAGACCAUGCAAGAAGCACCCCGUCUCACUUAGCCCACAUAUGAGGUGCUACCCAGGCUGCUCCUAAUUGCAGGAUCCUGGUAAGUGACAGAGAUCAAGCGUGUGGGCACUGCCCAGAGAGUCUGGCAGUGGCAGCAGCUGUGCCAGUGUAGUUCCAUGGGUUUGAGAGCAAUAACAGGUGGUUUUCAUUCACAGUGCCCUCCUCUGUGGUGCCCUUGAGGUAAUGGUAGCUGCAGGUGGUGCCUGUUCAUGGACCCCUAGUGGUGGCAGUCCACAUCCACCUCUGAAGUCAGUCAUAACCAUGGUGAUUUGCCCUGCCUCCUGGAGACAGUGCAAGAAGCACCUCAUCCCACUUAUACCCCAUAGGAGGUGCUCACCAGCUGCUCUUAGCUGUAGGUUCCUGGGAAGGGACAGUGAUCAAGCCUCUGGGCACUGCCCAGAGCAUUUGGCAGUGGCAGCAGCUGGGCGGCUGUGCUCCCAGGGGAGCAAGAGCCACAAAAGGUGAUGUUCUGUCACAAUGUCAUCCUCUGUGGUGCCCUCUGAGGUGGCUGGGGUUGCAAGUAGUUCUUGUUCAGGAUUCUCAGUGGUGGUGAGUCUACCUCUGGAGUGAGUUUACCCCCGCCACCUGCAGACCACGCAGGAAGCACCCUGUCCCACUUCUUAGCACACACAGGAGGUGCUGCACCAACAGCUCCUAGUUGUAGGGUCUUGGGAAGGGACAGUGAUGAAACAUCUGGGUGCCACCCAAAGCAUUUGGCAGUGGCAAUGCAGGCAAGUAGU
Molecule: long non-coding RNA, 5372 nt
Filed under: Sus scrofa (pig)
Lineage: Eukaryota; Metazoa; Chordata; Mammalia; Artiodactyla; Suidae
Description: lncRNA (ENSSSCG00025047552.1)
Source: RNAcentral